Molecule: long non-coding RNA, 847 nt
Organism: Scophthalmus maximus (turbot)
Lineage: Eukaryota; Metazoa; Chordata; Actinopteri; Pleuronectiformes; Scophthalmidae
Exons: 3
Source: RefSeq, a predicted model, not a curated record
UGGCUCUACAGGUUGCAGAGUUGUUGCCUGGUGAAUUGAAGCUCAUCACACUUGAUUCUUGUUUCUGAGGUUGAUAUAAAGCGCCGCGGCUCCCCGAGGUUCAAGCCCCGACGCUGACUGACAGUCGCUGGCAGCCUCGCCUCAUCUGGACAGACUCUGAUGGGAUUUAGCGGCGUGUCCAUUGGCCGCCGUCGUGUGCCAGCACUCUGCCGGGCCGGGGCCGGGCCUUUAUACAAACGGCCCAGCGUGGCGCCGGGGCCGGGCCCACAAAGAUGGCUGCUGUGACACACACAGGAGCAUAAUAGACUCCUUCUGGUCGGAGGACCCCUCGCCGUCUGAAGCUGCAGAAAUAAAGACUGUCAACAUGAAGGAAUAAACACUGAUGAUCCUCACAACUUCAGGGAGGCAUGAUGGCUUCCUGUCUCGUCUCACGUCGCGUCGCCCCGGUGUUCGACGUCCCCGCUGCCCGGUCUGAUUUAGAUCUUCCUCCCCGCUGCUGCUCUGAACCUCGUGUCUCUCCUGGUUCUCUCGGCCGUCCGCGGUUUUGACAGACGAUUCGUUCGGACAUGUUUUUCUCACCGUGAUAACUUGACCCGUCGACCUCUACCUGUUCCUGCCCCGGCUGACGCCGCUCCUGUGAACCCGCCAAAACCACCAACCGCCGAUUAAUUAUAGAUGCACGAAGCGGGAGGCGGAGGAGAUGUCAGAGACGUCAGGUCAGAUUAUUAUUGCUGCCAGCGAAGGAGAGCGGGACACGAGCCGGAGGACGAGGAGAUAAAUUAUAACUAACUACACACUCACAUUUUUGUUUAUGUUUUUAUUUUGUGUUAGGAGCUGUGACUUUGUG